Molecule: ribosomal RNA, 497 nt
Filed under: uncultured bacterium
Lineage: Bacteria
Description: partial 16S ribosomal RNA
Rfam family: Bacterial small subunit ribosomal RNA
Source: RNAcentral
GAUGAACGCUGGCGGCGUGCCUAAUACAUGCAAGUCGAGCGAACAGACGAGGAGCUUGCUCCUCUGACGUUAGCGGCGGACGGGUGAGUAACACGUGGAUAACCUACCUAUAAGACUGGGAUAACUUCGGGAAACCGGAGCUAAUACCGGAUAAUAUAUUGAACCGCAUGGUUCAAUAGUGAAAGACGGUUUUGCUGUCACUUAUAGAUGGAUCCGCGCCGCAUUAGCUAGUUGGUAAGGUAACGGCUUACCAAGGCAACGAUGCGUAGCCGACCUGAGAGGGUGGUCGGCCACACUGGAACUGAGACACGGUCCAGACUCCUACGGGAGGCAGCAGUAGGGAAUCUUCCGCAAUGGGCGAAAGCCUGACGGAGCAACGCCGCGUGAGUUAUGAAGGUCUUCGGAUCGUAAAACUCUGUUAUUAGGGAAGAACAAAUGUGUAAGUAACUAUGCACGUCUUGACGGUACCUAAUCAGAAAGCCACGGCUAACUACGUG